RNAcentral lists this ribosomal RNA (460 nucleotides) under uncultured bacterium. Its description in RNAcentral is "partial 16S ribosomal RNA". It matches the Rfam family "Bacterial small subunit ribosomal RNA", at positions 338 to 795 of the family's 1533-position model. The record is from RNAcentral.
CCUACGGGAGGCAGCAGUGAGGAAUAUUGGUCAAUGGACGAGAGUCUGAACCAGCCAAGUAGCGUGAAGGAUGACUGCCCUAUGGGUUGUAAACUUCUUUUAUAUGGGAAUAAAAUGUUCCACGUGUGGGAUUUUGUAUGUACCAUAUGAAUAAGGAUCGGCUAACUCCGUGCCAGCAGCCGCGGUAAUACGGAGGAUCCGAGCGUUAUCCGGAUUUAUUGGGUUUAAAGGGAGCGUAGGUGGAUUGUUAAGUCAGUUGUGAAAGUUUGCGGCUCAACCGUAAAAUUGCAGUUGAAACUGGCAGUCUUGAGUGCAGUAGAGGUGGGCGGAAUUCGUGGUGUAGCGGUGAAAUGCUUAGAUAUCACGAAGAACACCGAUUGCGAAGGCAGUUCACUGGACUGCAACUGACGCUGAGGCUCGAAAGUGUGGGUAUCAAACAGGAUUAGAUACCCCAGUAGUC